UCAGGAUGAACGCUGGCGGCGUGCCUAAUACAUGCAAGUCGAGCGAACAGACGAGGAGCUUGCUCCUCUGACGUUAGCGGCGGACGGGUGAGUAACACGUGGGUAACCUACCUAUAAGACUGGGAUAACUCCGGGAAACCGGRGCUAAUACCGGAUAAUAUUUUGAACCGCAUGGUUCAAAAGUGAAAGAUGGUUUUGCUAUCACUUAUAGAUGGACCCGCGCCGUAUUAGCUAGUUGGUAAGGUAACGGCUUACCAAGGCGACGAUACGUAGCCGACCUGAGAGGGUGAUCGGCCACACUGGAACUGAGACACGGUCCAGACUCCUACGGGAGGCAGCAGUAGGGAAUCUUCCGCAAUGGGCGAAAGCCUGACGGAGCAACGCCGCGUGAGUGAUGAAGGUCUUCGGAUCGUAAAACUCUGUUAUUAGGGAAGAACAUACGUGUAAGUAACUGUGCACGUCUUGACGGUACCUAAUCAGAAAGCCACGGCUAACUACGUGCCAGCAGCCGCGGUAAUACGUAGGU
RNAcentral lists this ribosomal RNA (526 nucleotides) under Staphylococcus pragensis. RNAcentral describes it as "bacterial SSU rRNA". It matches the Rfam family "Bacterial small subunit ribosomal RNA", at positions 24 to 532 of the family's 1533-position model. The record is from RNAcentral. Lineage: Bacteria; Bacillati; Bacillota; Bacilli; Caryophanales; Staphylococcaceae.